AGAAAAUAACCACCCACGUUCUCAGAGAUUUCAAAAAGAAGAUUUCAAGAGGAAGCCGAACGUUGGAGAACGACCUCCUCCAUCCCUCUUUAAUAAAGGUUUCAUGGCCAUGGCGACGUACAAAGAAAUUUACAGAGUUCUCACAGGUCUUGUAAUGCCCGAUCUUUGCGAUCUGCCUGAUCUUUGCGAUUUGCCUGAUCUUUGCGAUCUACCUAAUCUUUGCGAUAGUCUCACGACCCUAAUCUUGUAAAGCCUGAUCUUUGCGAUCUGCCUGAUCUUUGCGAUCUGCCUGAUCUUUGCGAUCUGCCUGAUCUUUGCGAUCUGUCUGAUCUUUG
Molecule: long non-coding RNA, 335 nt
Filed under: Amborella trichopoda
Lineage: Eukaryota; Viridiplantae; Streptophyta; Magnoliopsida; Amborellales; Amborellaceae
Description: long non-coding RNA (ATRI_LNC000464)
Source: RNAcentral